This 346-nucleotide ribosomal RNA is filed under the name uncultured bacterium. Its description in RNAcentral is "partial 16S ribosomal RNA". It matches the Rfam family "Bacterial small subunit ribosomal RNA", at positions 338 to 681 of the family's 1533-position model. The record is from RNAcentral.
CCUACGGGUGGCUGCAGUGAGGAAUAUUGGUCAAUGGGCGGAAGCCUGAACCAGCCAAGUAGCGUGCAGGAUGACGGCCCUACGGGUUGUAAACUGCUUUUAUACGGGAAUAAAGCGCCGUACGUGUAGGGCUUUGCAUGUACCGUAUGAAUAAGGACCGGCUAAUUCCGUGCCAGCAGCCGCGGUAAUACGGAAGGUCCGGGCGUUCUACGGAUGUAUGGGGUUUAUAGGGAGCGUAGGCCGCAUGUCAAGCGUGCUGUGCACUGUCCGGGCUCAACCCGGGCCUUGCAGCGCGAACUGGCGUGCUUGAGUCCGCGGCAAGCAGGCGGCAUUCGUCGUGUAGCGG